Molecule: long non-coding RNA, 1584 nt
Organism: Humulus lupulus (European hop)
Lineage: Eukaryota; Viridiplantae; Streptophyta; Magnoliopsida; Rosales; Cannabaceae
Exons: 6
Source: RefSeq, a predicted model, not a curated record
GGGUUUAGGUGAGGUGUAAGGAGAGGAAAUGAUGGGAUUUAGCUUAAAUUAUGGGAUAGGAAUUUGGCUUUUCACACUUGAGUCCUUUUCUUAAGGUUAGGUCACUAGAGGCUAUAAAUAGGAGAGUAUGGAACCCUUGGCAUUCUUUUCCUUGUGGCUGCCUAAAAUUAGAGAGAAGGAGAGAGAGAGAGAGGCGUGAAAGAGAGAGAAAGUGAAGGAGAAAGGAAGAAGAAGAAGGAUGUCCUAGGGUAUUCAAGGGUGAUUAUCACUUGGGUGUUGAUCAAGUUGUGUUCUUGAUUUUACAAUCAAGAGAGGCUCGUUGAGAAGUUGUGGUUUUACUUAGCUUGGACCUGAGAUAGCAAAUAAGUUUCUCUAUGGCACGUUUGGUGAUGUGGGGAGUUCUGUCAUCCUGGUGUGUAUGUCAUGGGGCAUCCUAUGGAUGAAAAAUGCAAUCAUGUCUAGCUCAAAUCCUGUAUCUUCUUUACUUGCUCAUGAAAAGUUGACUGGUGAAAACUACAUGUAAUGGAAAUCAAACUUGAACAUUGUAUUAAUAUGUAAGAAUCACAAAUUUUUCUUGACUGAGGAAUGUCCUGAAGUGCCUCCCGCAACUGCUACCAAAACUCAAAGGGAAAAGUUUGAUAAUUGGAUCUUAUCAAACAACAAAACAAAGUGUUAUAUGCUUGCAAGUAUGAUCGAUGUGCUCAGAAAGAAGUUUGAAGACACUGAGACUGCUUAUGAUAUCUGGGAUUCCCUUCAAGAUAUGUUUGGGUAGCAGUCAGAUCAGUGCAGGCAUGAGGCCACCAGAUCCGACAUGACCAAGAAAAUGAAGAAAGAAGUUUCUACCAUAGAAUAUGUACUAGACAUGAUAAAUAUAAUGCACGAUGCCAUUAUACAUGGGGCAACCAUUGAUGAAAGGACGCAAGUGAGCAUUAUACUUGAAUCGAUUUCUCUAGCUUUCAAUGGUUUCACAACCAACUAUGUCAUGAACAAAUUAUCAUAUAACAUGACACAGUUGUUGAAUGAAUUGCAAACUUAUGAAUCUCUCAACAAAUGUUCUGAUAAACUAGGAGAAGCAAAUGUUGCUAAUUCUAACCCAUCCUCUUCAAAGCCUAAAACUAAAAAGAGGAAAAAUGGAAAUGAAAAAGACAAGAAUUCAAAGAAGCCUAAAAAGUCAUCCAAAGGCAAAUAGAACAAGAACACCAAAAGCUCCAAAAAGAAGACUCCUAAAGGGACUUGUUUUCACUAUGGAGGAGAUGGUCACUGGAAGAGAAACUGUCCAAAGUAUCUCGCUGACCUAAAAGAGAAAAAUAAAGAUUCUUAGUUUGACGAGGAAGCUUGCUGAUAGAGAGGUGACUAUAAGGGUAGGCAGUUGUCCAAUUGUCUCUGCAACAGCAGUUGGAAUAGCCUGUCUGGAAUUGAAGAAGUAUAAAUUUCUUUUUUUAGAGAACGUUUAUUAUAUUCCUAGAUUUUCUAGAAAUUUAAUUUCUGUUUCUAUGUUUCAUGAACAAGGUUUUAAAAUUUCUUUGAAUAAUAAUUAGAUUUUUAUUUAAUGAUAUGGUAUUAAGAUAUGUUCUGCAAAUUCUA